GACGAACGCUGGCGGCGUGCUUAACACAUGCAAGUCGAACGGUAAGGCUCCAGCUUGCUGGGGUACACGAGUGGCGAACGGGUGAGUAACACGUGGGUGACCUGCCCUGCACUUCGGGAUAAGCCUGGGAAACUGGGUCUAAUACCGGAUAGGACCAUGGUGUGGAUACUGUGGUGGAAAGUUUUUUCGGUGUGGGAUGGGCCCGCGGCCUAUCAGCUUGUUGGUGGGGUAAUGGCCUACCAAGGCGGCGACGGGUAGCCGGCCUGAGAGGGUGGACGGCCACAUUGGGACUGAGACACGGCCUAGACUCCUACGGGAGGCAGCAGUGGGGAAUAUUGCACAAUGGGCGGAAGCCUGAUGCAGCGACGCCGCGUGGGGGAUGACGGCCUUCGGGUUGUAAACUCCUUUCACCAUCGACGAAGGGUUUCUGACGGUAGAUGGAGAAGAAGCACCGGCUAACUACGUG
RNAcentral lists this ribosomal RNA (466 nucleotides) under uncultured bacterium. RNAcentral's name for it is "partial 16S ribosomal RNA". It matches the Rfam family "Bacterial small subunit ribosomal RNA", at positions 28 to 507 of the family's 1533-position model. The record is from RNAcentral.